This 562-nucleotide ribosomal RNA is filed under the name uncultured bacterium. Its description in RNAcentral is "partial 16S ribosomal RNA". It matches the Rfam family "Bacterial small subunit ribosomal RNA", at positions 355 to 937 of the family's 1533-position model. The record is from RNAcentral.
UGGGGAAUAUUGGACAAUGGGCGCAAGCCUGAUCCAGCCAUGCCGCGUGAGUGAUGAAGGCCCUAGGGUUGUAAAGCUCUUUCAGCGAGGAGGAUAAUGACGUUACUCGCAGAAGAAGCCCCGGCUAACUUCGUGCCAGCAGCCGCGGUAAUACGAAGGGGGCUAGCGUUGUUCGGAAUCACUGGGCGUAAAGCGCACGUAGGCGGACUUUUAAGUCAGGGGUGAAAUCCCGGGGCUCAACCUCGGAACUGCCUUUGAUACUGGAAGUCUGGAGUCCGAGAGAGGUGAGUGGAACUCCGAGUGUAGAGGUGAAAUUCGCAGAUAUUCGGAAGAACACCAGUGGCGAAGGCGGCUCACUGGCUCGGUACUGACGCUGAGGUGCGAAAAGCGUGGGGAGCAAAACAGGAUUAGAUACCCUGGUAGUCCACGCCGUAAAACGAUGGAAGCUAGCCGUCAGGGUGCAUGCAUCUUGGUGGCGCAGUUAACGCAUUAAGCUUCCCGCCUGGGGAGUACGGUCGCAAGAUUAAAACUUAAAUGAAUUGACGGGGUCAUAGCUGUUUCC